UACGAAGGGGGCUAGCGUUGUUCGGAAUUACUGGGCGUAAAGCGCACGUAGGCGGAUACUUAAGUUAGGGGUGAAAUCCCAGAGCUCAACUCUGGAACUGCCUCUAAUACUGGGUAUCUCGAGUUCGAGAGAGGUGAGUGGAAUUCCGAGUGUAGAGGUGAAAUUCGUAGAUAUUCGGAGGAACACCAGUGGCGAAGGCGGCUCACUGGCUCGAUACUGACGCUGAGGAGCGAAAGCGUGGGGAGCAAACAGG
RNAcentral lists this ribosomal RNA (253 nucleotides) under uncultured bacterium. RNAcentral's name for it is "partial 16S ribosomal RNA". It matches the Rfam family "Bacterial small subunit ribosomal RNA", at positions 524 to 776 of the family's 1533-position model. The record is from RNAcentral.